RNAcentral lists this ribosomal RNA (141 nucleotides) under Peltaster cerophilus. Its description in RNAcentral is "partial 18S ribosomal RNA". It matches the Rfam family "Eukaryotic small subunit ribosomal RNA", at positions 1693 to 1831 of the family's 1831-position model. The record is from RNAcentral. Lineage: Eukaryota; Fungi; Ascomycota; Dothideomycetes.
AUGGCUCAGUGAGGCCUUCGGACUGGUCCAGGGAGGUCGGCAACGACCACCCAGGACCGGAAAGUUGGUCAAACUCGGUCAUUUAGAGGAAGUAAAAGUCGUAACAAGGUCUCCGUAGGUGAACCUUCGGAGGGAUCAUUA